RNAcentral lists this ribosomal RNA (407 nucleotides) under uncultured bacterium. Its description in RNAcentral is "partial 16S ribosomal RNA". It matches the Rfam family "Bacterial small subunit ribosomal RNA", at positions 28 to 526 of the family's 1533-position model. The record is from RNAcentral.
GACGAACGCUAGCGGCGUGCCUAAUACAUGCAAGUAGGACGCAGUUGCGAACGGGUGAGUAACGCGUAGGUAACUACCUAUUAGAGGGGGAUAACUCUUGGCCACGAUCGCUAAUACCGCAUACUAGUAGAUGGACCUGCGUUGUAUUAGCUAGUAGGUAGGGUAAUGGCCUACCUAGGCAACGAUACAUAGACGACGUGUGAGGGUGAUCGGCCAAACGGGGACUGAGACACGGGUCAGACUCCGAAGGGAGGCAGCAGGAGGUAAUCAUCGGCAAUGGGGGGAAGCGUGACCGAGCAACGCAGCGUGAGUGAAGAAGGUUUUCGGAUCGGAAAGCUCUGUUGUUAAGGAAGCGGUACUUAACCAGAAAGGGACGGCUAACUACGUGCCAGCCGCCGCGGUAAUUC